UACUUGGAUAACCGUGGUAAUUCUAGAGCUAAUACAUGCUAAAAACCCCAACUUCGGGAGGGGUGUAUUUAUUAGAUAAAAAACCAAUGCCCUUCGGGGCUCUUUGGUGAUUCACAAUAACUUAACGGAUCGCAUGGCCUUGCGCCGGCGACGGUUCAUUCAAAUUUCUGCCCUAUCAACUUUCGAUGGUAAGGUAUUGGCUUACCAUGGUUUCAACGGGUAACGGGGAAUUAGGGUUCGAUUCCGGAGAGGGAGCCUGAGAAACGGCUACCACAUCCAAGGAAGGCAGCAGGCGCGCAAAUUACCCAAUCCCGACACGGGGAGGUAGUGACAAUAAAUACUGAUACAGGGCUCUUUUGGGUCUUGUAAUCGGAAUGAGUACAAUUUAAACCUCUUAACGAGGAACAAUUGGAGGGCAAGUCUGGUGCCAGCAGCCGCGGUAAUUCCAGCUCCAAUAGCGUAUAUUAAAGUUGUUGCAGUUAAAAAGCUCGUAGUUGAACCUUGGGUCUGGCUGGCCGGUCCGCCUCACCGCGUGCACUGGUCCGGCCGGACCUUUCCUUCUGGAGAACCCCAUGCCCUUCACUGGGUGUGCGGGGGAACCAGGACUUUUACUGUGAAAAAAUUAGAGUGUUCAAAGCAGGCCUUUGCUCGAAUACGUUAGCAUGGAAUAAUAGAAUAGGACGUGCGAUCCUAUUUUGUUGGUUUCUAGGACCGCCGUAAUGAUUAAUAGGGAUAGUCGGGGGCAUCAGUAUUCAAUUGUCAGAGGUGAAAUUCUUGGAUUUAUUGAAGACUAACUACUGCGAAAGCAUUUGCCAAGGAUGUUUUCAUUAAUCAGUGAACGAAAGUUAGGGGAUCGAAGACGAUCAGAUACCGUCGUAGUCUUAACCGUAAACUAUGCCGACUAGGGAUCGGGCGAUGUUUCUAUUUUGACUCGCUCGGCA
Molecule: ribosomal RNA, 941 nt
Filed under: Fusiformispora clematidis
Lineage: Eukaryota; Fungi; Ascomycota; Dothideomycetes; Pleosporales; Amniculicolaceae
Description: SSU rRNA
Rfam family: Eukaryotic small subunit ribosomal RNA
Source: RNAcentral